UACGAAGGGUGCAAGCGUUAAUCGGAAUUACUGGGCGUAAAGCGUGCGUAGGCGGCUUUUUAAGUCGGAUGUGAAAUCCCCGGGCUCAACCUGGGAAUGGCAUCCGAUACUGGGGAGCUAGAGUUUGGGAGAGGGUGGUGGAAUUCCCGGUGUAGCGGUGAAAUGCGUAGAGAUCGGGAGGAACAUCAGUGGCGAAGGCGGCCACCUGGCCUAAAACUGACGCUGAGGCACGAAAGCGUGGGGAGCAAACAGGAUUAGAAACCCUUGUAGUCC
Molecule: ribosomal RNA, 273 nt
Filed under: uncultured prokaryote
Description: partial 16S ribosomal RNA
Rfam family: Bacterial small subunit ribosomal RNA
Source: RNAcentral